GGGGAAUAUUGCACAAUGGGCGAAAGCCUGAUGCAGCAACGCCGCGUGAGUGAUGAAGGUCUUCGGAUUGUAAAGCUCUGUCUUUUGGGACGAUAAUGACGGUACCAAAGGAGGAAGCCACGGCUAACUACGUGCCAGCAGCCGCGGUAAUACGUAGGUGGCGAGCGUUGUCCGGAUUUACUGGGCGUAAAGGGUGCGUAGGCGGAUGUUUAAGUGAGAUGUGAAAUACCCGGGCUUAACUUGGGUGCUGCAUUUCAAACUGGAUAUCUAGAGUGCAGGAGAGGAGAAUGGAAUUCCUAGUGUAGCGGUGAAAUGCGUAGAGAUUAGGAAGAACACCAGUGGCGAAGGCGAUUCUCUGGACUGUAACUGACGCUGAGGCACGAAAGCGUGGGUAGCAAACAGGAUUAGAUACCCUGGUAGUCCACGCCGUAAAACGAUGAGUACUAGGUGUAG
Molecule: ribosomal RNA, 453 nt
Filed under: uncultured bacterium
Lineage: Bacteria
Description: partial 16S ribosomal RNA
Rfam family: Bacterial small subunit ribosomal RNA
Source: RNAcentral